GAUGAACGCUGGCGGCGUGCCUAAUACAUGCAAGUCGAGCGAACAGACGAGGACCUUGCUCCUCUGACGUUAGCGGCGGACGGGAGAGUAACACGUGGAUAACCUACCUAUAAGACUGGGAUAACUUCGGGAAACCGGAGCUAAUACCGGAUAAUAUAUUGAACCGCAUGGUUCACUAGUGAAAGACGGUUUUGCUGUCACUUAUAGAUGGAUCAGCGCCGCAUUAGCUAGUUGGUAAGGUAACGGCUUACCAAGGCAACGAUGCGUAGCCGACCUGAGAGGGUGAUCGGCCACACUGGAACUGAGACACGGUCCAGACUCCUACGGGAGGCAGCAGUAGGGAAUCUUCCGCAAUGGGCGAAAGCCUGACGGAGCAACGCCGCGUGAGUGAUGAAGGUCUUCGGAUCGUAAAACUCUGUUAUUAGGGAAGAACAAAUGUGUAAGUAACUAUGCACGUCUUGACGGUACCUGAACAGAAAGCCCCGGCUAACUACGUG
This 497-nucleotide ribosomal RNA is filed under the name uncultured bacterium. RNAcentral's name for it is "partial 16S ribosomal RNA". It matches the Rfam family "Bacterial small subunit ribosomal RNA", at positions 28 to 507 of the family's 1533-position model. The record is from RNAcentral.